Molecule: non-coding RNA, 24 nt
Filed under: Arabidopsis thaliana (thale cress)
Lineage: Eukaryota; Viridiplantae; Streptophyta; Magnoliopsida; Brassicales; Brassicaceae
Source: RNAcentral
AUCAAAAACAAUUAUUAAAUGCCA